This 427-nucleotide ribosomal RNA is filed under the name uncultured bacterium. RNAcentral describes it as "partial 16S ribosomal RNA". It matches the Rfam family "Bacterial small subunit ribosomal RNA", at positions 355 to 774 of the family's 1533-position model. The record is from RNAcentral.
UGGGGAAUAUUGCACAAUGGGCGCAAGCCUGAUGCAGCCAUGCCGCGUGUGUGAAGAAGGCCUUCGGGUUGUAAAGCACUUUCAGCGAGGAGGAAGGGUAGUGUGUUAAUAGCACAUUGCAUUGACGUUACUCGCAGAAGAAGCACCGGCUAACUCCGUGCCAGCAGCCGCGGUAAUACGGAGGGUGCAAGCGUUAAUGGGAAUUACUGGGCGUAAAGCGCACGCAGGCGGUUUGUUAAGUCAGAUGUGAAAUCCCCGCGCUUAACGUGGGAACUGCAUUUGAAACUGGCAAGCUAGAGUCUUGUAGAGGGGGGUAGAAUUCCAGGUGUAGCGGUGAAAUGCGUAGAGAUCUGGAGGAAUACCGGUGGCGAAGGCGGCCCCCUGGACAAAGACUGACGCUCAGGUGCGAAAGCGUGGGGAGCAAACA